This 293-nucleotide ribosomal RNA is filed under the name uncultured bacterium. RNAcentral describes it as "partial 16S ribosomal RNA". It matches the Rfam family "Bacterial small subunit ribosomal RNA", at positions 505 to 796 of the family's 1533-position model. The record is from RNAcentral.
GUGUCAGCAGCCGCGGUAAUACGUAGGGACCAAGCGUUGUUCGGAUUUACUGGGCGUAAAGGGCGCGUAGGCGGCGCGACAAGUCACUUGUGAAAUCUCCGGGCUUAACCCGGAACGGCCAAGUGAAACUGUCGUGCUAGAGUGCGGAAGGGGCAAUCGGAAUUCUCGGUGUAGCGGUGAAAUGCGUAGAUAUCGAGAGGAACACCUGAGGUGAAGACGGGUUGCUGGGCCGACACUGACGCUGAGUGCGCGAAAGCCAGGGGAGCAAACGGGAUUAGAAACCCGGGUAGUCC